RNAcentral lists this ribosomal RNA (523 nucleotides) under uncultured bacterium. RNAcentral describes it as "bacterial SSU rRNA". It matches the Rfam family "Bacterial small subunit ribosomal RNA", at positions 791 to 1321 of the family's 1533-position model. The record is from RNAcentral.
UAGUCCACGCCGUAAACGAUGGAUACUAGCCGUCGGGGCAAUACGCUUCGGUGGCGACGCUAACGCAUUAAGUAUCCCGCCUGGGGAGUACGGUCGCAAGAUUAAAACUCAAAGGAAUUGACGGGGACCCGCACAAGCGGAGCAUGUUGCUUAAUUCGAUGCAACGCGGGGAACCUUACCAGGGCUUAAAUGUAAGUUGCAUGAUUUAGAGAUAGAUCUUUCUUCGGACUACUUACAAGGUGCUGCAUGGUUGUCGUCAGCUCGUGCCGUGAGGUGUCAGGUUAAGUCCUAUAACGAGCGCAACCCCUACCGUUAGUUGCCAGCAUGUUAUGAUGGGGACUCUAGCGGGACUGCCGGUGCAAACCGAGAGGAAGGUGGGGAUGACGUCAAAUCAUCACGGCCCUUACGUCCUGGGCUACACACGUGCUACAAUGGUAACGACAGAGGGCAGCCACCCCGCGAGGGGGAGCGGAAUCCUUAAACGUUAUCUCAGUUCGGAUCGGAGUCUGCAACUCGACUCCGU